GACGAACGCUGGCGGCGUGCUUAACACAUGCAAGUCGAACGGUGAAGCGCCUUCCUUUUUGGUGGGUGUGGAUGAGUGGCGAACGGGUGAGUAACACGUGAGUAACCUGCCCCCUUCUUCUGGAUAACCGCAUGAAAGUGUGGCUAAUACGGGAUAUUCUGGGUCUGUCGCAUGAUGGGUCUGGGAAAGAUAUUGUUUCGGUGGGGGAUGGGCUCGCGGCCUAUCAGCUUGUUGGUGGGGUGAUGGCCUACCAAGGCGGUGACGGGUAGCCGGCCUGAGGGGGUGGACGGUCACACUGGGACUGAGACACGGCCCAGACUCCUACGGGAGGCAGCAGUGGGGAAUAUUGCACAAUGGGCGCAAGCCUGAUGCAGCGACGCCGCGGGAGGGAUGGAGGCCUGCGGGUUGUGAACCUCUUUCGCCAGUGAAGCAGGCCUGCCUCGUUUGUGGGUGGGUUGACGGUAGCUGGAGAAGAAGCGCCGGCUAACUACGUG
Molecule: ribosomal RNA, 494 nt
Filed under: uncultured bacterium
Lineage: Bacteria
Description: partial 16S ribosomal RNA
Rfam family: Bacterial small subunit ribosomal RNA
Source: RNAcentral